This 1809-nucleotide ribosomal RNA is filed under the name Deltaproteobacteria bacterium. RNAcentral's name for it is "partial 23S ribosomal RNA". It matches the Rfam family "Bacterial large subunit ribosomal RNA", at positions 1 to 1770 of the family's 2925-position model. Lineage: Bacteria; Pseudomonadati; Myxococcota; Myxococcia. The record is from RNAcentral.
GAUCAAGCUAUGAAGGGCAUGCGGUGGAUUCCCAGGCAGUAAGAAGUGAUGAAAGACGUGGUUGGCUGCGAAAAGCCCCGGCGAGUCGCCAAACAGACUGUGACCCGAGGAUUUCUGAAUGAGGAAACUCUCUAGGAGUAACUUCCUAGAAUCUUGCAAUGAAUACAUAGUUGCAUGAGGCGAACGGGGAGAAGUGAAACAUCUCAGUAUCCCCAGGAAUAGAAAUCAAUCCAGAGACUCUCUUAGUAGCGGUGAGCGAAACGAGAUCAGCCCAAACCAAUCAUGCUUGCAUGGUUGGGGUUGCGGGACUCACUACACGAAGUUACAAAAUUUUUUCUUAGCCAAACAGUAUGGAACGGCUGACCAAAGAUGGUGAAAGUCCAGUAGGCGAAAAGAAAAAAUCUUCUGUGAGUAUCCCAAGUACGACGGGACACGUGGAAUCUUGUCGGAAUCCGGGAGGACCAUCUCCCAAGGCUAAGUAUUCCUUACUGACCGAUAGUGGACCAGUACCGCGAGGGAAAGGUGAAAAGAACCCCAAUGAGGGGAGUGAAAUAGAACAUGAAACCGCAUGCUUACAAGCCGUACGAGAGCUAUGCCCGCAAGGGAGAGGCUUGAGUACGUACCUUUUGCAUAAUGAGUCAGCGAGUUACUGUCUGCAGCAAGGUUAAGCCGUUCAGGUGGAGCCGAAGCGAAAGCGAGUCUUAAAAGGGCGAUUUAGUUGCAGGCAGCAGACCCGAAACCCGAUGAUCUACCCAUGGCCAGGAUGAAGCGUAGGUAACACUACGUGGAGGUCCGAACCGACGUCAGUUGAAAAUGCCGCGGAUGAGCUGUGGAUAGGGGUGAAAGGCUAAUCAAAUCGGGUGAUAGCUGGUUCUCCUCGAAACAUAUUGAGGUAUGGCCUUGGAUCUUUAAUAACGGAGGUAAAGCACUGAAUAGGCUAGGGGACUUACCCGUCUACCAAACCUAAUCAAACUCUGAAUGCCGUAUAUUUUAAUCCAGGAGACAGACUGUGGGGGAUAAGCUUCAUAGUCGAGAGGGAAAGAGCCCAGAUUACCGUCUAAGGUCCCUAAAUAUUUGCUAAGUGGUGAAGGAAGUGGGAUCGCUAUGACAACCAGGAAGUUGGCUUAGAAGCAGCCAUCUUUUAAAGAAAGCGUAAUAGCUCACUGGUCGAGCGAACCUGCGCCAAAAAUGUAACGGGGCUAAAGCAAAUUGCCGAAGACGUAACUGUAAAAUUCUUGCGAGAGUUUUACGGGGUAGAGGAGCAUUCUCUAGGAGAUACACGGUAGACCGUAAGGACUGCUAACGGCCUAGAGAAGAGAUUAUGCUGACACGAGUAAACGUUAAAACGGGUGAAAAACCCGUUCGCCGGAAGUCUCAGGGUUCCUGGGUAAAGUUAAUCUUCCCAGGGUUAGUCGGGUCCUAAGUGGAGGCCGAAAGGCGUACGCGAUGGAAAUCAGGUUAAUAUUCCUGAACCGACUUUUGUUCGUUGAUCUAAGGAGUUACGGAGAAGGCUAAGUCAGAUGGGUGUUGGAUAUCCCAUUUCAAGGUCGUAGGGCGAGUGCGUAGGCAAAUCCGCGCGUUCAUUAAACCCGAGAUCCGAGUACGAGAGCGAAAGCUCAUAAAGUGACUGAUGCCCAGCUUCCGAGAAACACUUCGUAAGGAGAACAAAGGCCGACCGUACCGCAAACCGACACAGGUAGACAGGACGAAAAUUCUAAGGCGCUUGAGAGAACCAUGGUUAAGGAACUCGGCAAAAUCACUCCGUAACUUCGGGAGAAGGAGUGCCCACUAUUGUGAAGGAUUUACUCC